CAGUCGCCGCGGGAAUACGUAGGUGGCAAGCGUUGUCCGGAUUUAUUGGGCGUAAAGCGAGCGCAGGCGGUUUCUUAAGUCUGAUGUGAAAGCCCCCGGCUCAACCGGGGAGGGUCAUUGGAAACUGGGAGACUUGAGUGCAGAAGAGGAGAGUGGAAUUCCAUGUGUAGCGGUGAAAUGCGUAGAUAUAUGGAGGAACACCAGUGGCGAAGGCGGCUCUCUGGUCUGUAACUGACGCUGAGGCUCGAAAGCGUGGGGAGCGAACAGGAUUAGAUACCCCAGUAGUCCCUGUCUCUUAUAC
RNAcentral lists this ribosomal RNA (301 nucleotides) under uncultured bacterium. Its description in RNAcentral is "partial 16S ribosomal RNA". It matches the Rfam family "Bacterial small subunit ribosomal RNA", at positions 509 to 807 of the family's 1533-position model. The record is from RNAcentral.